UCGGGAAUUUUGGGCAAUGGGGGAAACCCUGACCCAGCAACGCCGCGUGAAGGAUGAAGUAUUUCGGUAUGUAAACUUCGAAAGAAUAGGAAGAAUAAAUGACGGUACUAUUUAUAAGGUCCGGCUAACUACGUGCCAGCAGCCGCGGUAAUACGAAGGGUGCGAACGUUAUUCGGAUUUAUUGGGCGUAAAGGGUACGCAGGCGGUGCGUUAAGUCAACUGUUAAAUCUCCCGGCCUAACUGGGAAUCAGCGGUAGAUACUGGCGCACUAGAGGAUGGAAGAGAGAAGUGGAAUUCUUGGAGUAGAGGUAAAAUUCGUAGAUCUCAAGAGGAACACCGAUGGCGAAGGCAGCUUCUUGGUCCAUUUCUGACGCUCAUGUACGAAAGCGUGGGGAGCAAACAGGAUUAGAUACCCUGGUAGUCCCUGAGCGGGCUGGCAAGGCGCAU
RNAcentral lists this ribosomal RNA (447 nucleotides) under uncultured bacterium. RNAcentral describes it as "bacterial SSU rRNA". It matches the Rfam family "Bacterial small subunit ribosomal RNA", at positions 355 to 825 of the family's 1533-position model. The record is from RNAcentral.